RNAcentral lists this small nuclear RNA (107 nucleotides) under Castor canadensis (American beaver). Lineage: Eukaryota; Metazoa; Chordata; Mammalia; Rodentia; Castoridae. The record is from RNAcentral.
AUGCUCUCUUCGGCAGCAUAUAUACUAAAAUUGGAACGAUACAGAGAAAAUUAGCAUGGCCCCUGUGCAACGAUGACACACAAAUUUGUGAAGCAUUCCAUAUUUUU